This 490-nucleotide ribosomal RNA is filed under the name uncultured bacterium. Its description in RNAcentral is "partial 16S ribosomal RNA". It matches the Rfam family "Bacterial small subunit ribosomal RNA", at positions 30 to 507 of the family's 1533-position model. The record is from RNAcentral.
AUUGAACGCUGGCGGCAGGCCUAACACAUGCAAGUCGAACGGUAACAGGAAGAAUCUUGCUUCUUUGCUGACGAGUGGCGGACGGGUGAGUAAUGUCUGGGAAACUGCCUGAUGGAGGGGGAUAACUACUGGAAACGGUAGCUAAUACCGCAUAAUGUCGCAAGACCAAAGAGGGGGACCUUCGGGCCUCUUGCCUUCGGAUGUGUCCAGAUGGGAUUAGCUAGUAGGUGGGGUAACGGCUCACCUAGGCGACGAUCCCUAGCUGGUCUGAGAGGAUGACCAGCCACACUGGAACUGAGACACGGUCCAGACUCCUACGGGAGGCAGCAGUGGGGAAUAUUGCACAAUGGGCGAAAGCCUGAUGCAGCUAUGCCGCGUGUAUGAAGAAGGCCUUCGGGUUGUAAAGUACUUUAAGCGGGGAGGAAGGGAGUAAAGUUAAUACCUUUGCUCAUUGACGUUACCCGCAGAAGAAGCACCGGCUAACUCCGUG